CCUACGGGAGGCAGCAGUGGGGAAUAUUGCACAAUGGGGGAAACCCUGAUGCAGCGAAGCCGCGUGAGUGAAGAAGUAAUUCGUUAUGUAAAGCUCUAUCAGCAGGGAAGAAAAUGACGGUACCUGAGUAAGAAGCCCCGGCUAACUACGUUCCAGCAGCCGCGGUAAUACGGAGGGGGCCAGCGUUAUCCGGAUUUACUGGGUGUAAAGGGAGCGUAGACGGCAGUGCAAGUCUGGAGGGAAAGGCGGUGGCUAAACCCCCGGACUGCUGUGGAAACUGUACGGCUGGAGUUCAGGUGAGGUAAGUGGAAUGCGUGGUGUAGCGGUGAAAUGCGUAGAUAUUAGGAGGAACACCAGUGGCGAAGGCGGCUUACUGGACUGUAACUGACGUUGAGGCACGAAAGCGUGGGGAGCAAACAGGAUUAGAUACCCCAGUAGUC
Molecule: ribosomal RNA, 440 nt
Filed under: uncultured bacterium
Lineage: Bacteria
Description: partial 16S ribosomal RNA
Rfam family: Bacterial small subunit ribosomal RNA
Source: RNAcentral